UACAGAGGUGGCAAGCGUUGUUCGGAAUUACUGGGCGUAAAGCGCGUGUAGGCGGCUCUUCAAGUAAGGCGUGAAAGCCCCGGGCUCAACUCGGGAACUGCGCUUGAUACUGUCGAGCUAGAGUGUGGAAGGGGCGAUUGGAAUUCCGUGUGUAGCGGUGAAAUGCGUAGAUAUACGGAGGAACACCAGAGGCGAAGGCGGAUCGCUGGGCCAACACUGACGCUGAGACGCGAAAGCUAGGGUAGCAAACGGG
Molecule: ribosomal RNA, 253 nt
Filed under: uncultured bacterium
Lineage: Bacteria
Description: partial 16S ribosomal RNA
Rfam family: Bacterial small subunit ribosomal RNA
Source: RNAcentral